RNA transcript from Arachis stenosperma, 1714 nucleotides. It is a transcript of the gene named pathogenesis-related protein 1-like, with no coding region annotated. Lineage: Eukaryota; Viridiplantae; Streptophyta; Magnoliopsida; Fabales; Fabaceae. The record is from RefSeq and is a predicted model, not a curated record. The transcript is spliced from 3 exons.
CCGAACUAAACAACACUCACCCACACCCCAACAUCAUAGCCACACUCCCCCAAAUUUCCAAAAACCCUAGCUGCUACCCUUACCUCCUUCAGAAACUCAACGCACACACAACACACACACAGCAGCAGGAAAACAAAAAAAUGAAAGAAGAAAGAAAGAAGAAAGGAAAGAGGGAAGGGACCAAGGAAUGAAGGAGAGGGGGGAGAAGGGAAGGCGACGUGGUAGGCAUCACUACCACCGUCGCCGCCACUGCUGACAGAGAAGAGAGGGAGAUUCGAGAGAGAGGGAGAGCCCAGGGGAGGAGAAGCUCAGUGCCGCCACUGCAUCCUGCUGUCCGCACCGCCACCGUCGCGUCACCUGUACCGUCGCCACCAUCCGUCAUGCCGCACCAUGCCACGUCACUGUCGAGAACAGAGCUGUAGGGAGAGAAGGCUCGCGAGUGAGAGAGAAGGUUGCAAGACUGGAGACCGCCACACCCAGUCACAUCCAUGAAGCCAUCGCCGCCUAGCCCGACCCGUCGCCAAACCGCGUCGCCGUCCGUGAAGCUGCCUCCGUCGCGACCGUCGGAGGUUGCUGUUGGAGCUGCUGCUCCAGUUCUGUCGUUCUUCUUUUUCACAGGUUAAUUUUAUGGGUUUGCAUGUCGAAAUUGAGGUUGUUGCUGAACCACUGGAGCUUCUGCCUACUGUCGGAGCUACUGCCGAAUAAGUUUAGAGUGGCUACUACACCAUUCUUUUAUUCCAAUGUCGUGGCUUGCCAUCACGUGCUUCAGGUUGAGACUCGAUACUCUGUUGAUCCUACGUCGCAAGAUGUGGACGGACACUUUAACUCCACAAGAGUUCCCCCAAUGAGUAGAAUUUGUUUAUGAUUUGAGAAAAAGCUAUGCAUAGACUCUUGGGGAUGCGCGCACAUGGGAUUUUCCAGGGUUUAGCAGGCGGACAUGUCGAGUUGGCUUUAUAACCGAAAGAUGAGACUCAUCAGCCAUAGGGCAGGCAUUCGUUAUAUGCAUCUAUGUGACAUUGUUUGGGCAUGCAUAUUAUUAUUGGUUUGUCUAUGUGAAUAAUUAUGUUUAAUUGUUAAUUGCUCUAUUUGAGGUAACUGCUUUGAUUGUGUUUGAACCUUCUUUCUUAUGUUUGUGAUUGAAAUUGAGUGGAUUGUGGUGAAUUGGCUGUUGAUUGAGUUGUUUGGGUCUAGGGCUGUGACUGAUUAUGUGAUAGGUCAAAGGUUGUGAGUGGUUUAUGUUUUUGGUUUAGUAAAGUAUGAAAGAUCAAACUGAUUCAGCAUAGACUUAAUGAACCUAUGCUUGGAAUAGCUUGGUCAUCAUGCAUACUGUCCAGGAAAAACUUGUAAUAAUUGAUACAAAUGGAAAAUAUUUUGGAUUUUUGAAGAAUUAACAGAUUUCUCUUUUAAAAAGGAUAUCGAUUUUUUUUAAUAUAAAUCUCUGGUUUUUGUAAGGAUACAUAAGGCGGGCAACGAUCACUGUAUAUUGAAAACAGUUUUACUUUUACGUAUCUUAUUAUAACAAUUCUCUAACCCUAUAGUGAGAACCAACUAGGACGAUCUUGUCCACGUGUUUCCUUUUUAGAGUAUGGACAAAGAAGUCAUGAAGAGUUUAUUUUGUUUUAUGUUUACACGAUAUUGUUGUAUUUUUUAGUUAUUUUAUUUUCUCGUCCUUAUCUUUACAAGUUUUUGUUAGAGGGAUAGAAACUUGAUAUGA